AAGGAUUUGUGACCUGACUUUUUCUGGGCGGAUCAUCCGGGGUUCUCUCCGGUGCACUUCGCCCAGUAAAGGCCAGCAUCGGUUUUCGGCGUGGGAUAAAAGCAGUAGGAAUGUGGCUCUCUACGGGGAGUGUUAUAGCCUAUUGUAUAAUACCGCGCUGGGGACCGAGGUUCGCGCUUCUGCAAGGAUGCUGGCGUAAUGGUUAUCAAUCA
Molecule: ribosomal RNA, 212 nt
Filed under: Neopestalotiopsis sp.
Lineage: Eukaryota; Fungi; Ascomycota; Sordariomycetes; Amphisphaeriales; Sporocadaceae
Description: partial large subunit ribosomal RNA
Source: RNAcentral